CUCUGCCUUCCUUCUUUGCAGGGAACUUCGAAGCCUCUGUUUCCUCGUUGUCCAUCAUUCUCCAAUCCCUGGUAUUCCGGUUUGCACCACUAGGACACUACUGAGACGGCUCCUGGAGCGGCACCACAGCCUCUCGAUGCCAAAUGAGGAGCGCUUAGCGACAGCGAUGAUGACCCACUCUGAAAGAAGUGUUCUUCCGCGUCCGCUGUGGCACCCCUGGUUUUCCUCGUAAUUCUACCGACUAACGUCUGCACAGCCCUUUCUCUGCAUCACCUUUACCGUGGGCUGGGCUUCUUUGCUGACUCCUCUUUCUCUCCACUCUCUAAACCCUGCAGACACCCUCCUCUCCCCUCAGAGAGCGCCCCUCGGAGCCUUCCAGCCUCUCACCUCGGCACUGAUGACCCCCAGAUGCCCAGCUCGCAGCUUGCAGCUCGCAGCUCCGUACCCACCACCUCCAGAGCUCAGCCCUCAGUGUGUCAAGCUCCUGCCACCCACCUCAGUCUUCAUCUCCCCCAACACCACCCCCCGCCCACGCUACGGCUGCUUCACUUCCUCAUUCCUGUUGCAACCACCACCAUCUUCCAGUUGCGC
Molecule: long non-coding RNA, 591 nt
Filed under: Equus caballus (horse)
Lineage: Eukaryota; Metazoa; Chordata; Mammalia; Perissodactyla; Equidae
Description: lncRNA (ENSECAG00000060114.1)
Source: RNAcentral